CGUUGUCAUUGCACUGAAACCUGAGGCCUUUGUCUGGUUUAGUUUUGUUGGUAUCCAAAGACAUGAAGUCAUCCAUAAAUUGUACUCACUGAAACCCAAAAAAAAUCAAGAAAAAAAAAAUUAUAAACAAAAGAAUUAGAUUACAAGAUCCCAUGACAAAUAAUAUAUAUAUAUAUAUAUAUAUUCGCUAAUUGCUCCACACACAAACACCAAAGCGUUGGCUUGCAUUUGCGGCAUAAAUAGAGAAGAUUUGUUUGUUUGUUUGUUUCUCUAACCUUCAUGGAACUUUCACUUUUGUUUUCUAGGCAAUUUUUGGUUGUUUGUUUUUGAAAGAAAGGGAGAGAGAAAAAGAGAGAGGCUGACAAUUUGUUUGGUGGGUUAUGUCAGAGGCUCUGAAAAGCAAACGUGCCUUGCGUAAUAAUAAAAAUAAAUAGCCAAAAAGAUUUAAAAAAAAAAGAAAAGAAAAAGGUUACUUAAAAAAAAAAAAAUUGUAAAAGGAGGAGGACGAUAAAGUAAAAAUAAAGACAAGACAAAAUUGCUUGGUAACAUGAUAGCCGAGUUCCCGGAAAGUCAAUAAAGUACCCUUUAAAAGUUUCAGCUGAUCAAACUUCACAGAGACAAAUAUACCCCAUUCAGAGACCCUUAUUUUAACUUGUGUAAGAAACAUAAACCACUCCUUUCCCAAAAAAGAUAAAAAAAAAAAAACCAUAAACCAUUUUCCUAUCCUCUCUAUCAAAGAUUUGCGGCGGGCUUGGUAAUAUACAGUCCGGUUCGGUUUAGGUUGAGAAUCGAACCGAAAUCAAAACUGAAGUUUAAAAUAGAACCAAAAAUUUCAGUUCGGUUCAAAUUGGUUUUGUUUUAUUUAGUUCCACCUGUAUUAAAUUUAAACUACAAACACAAUAUUGCAUAGUAAAACAAAUAUAGUAAUGCCAACUUAUACAACAGUUUAUUCAACAAUCACCCAAUAAGUUAAACAAUCUUGAUUCAUUCAACAAUUUUAUUCAGAAAAUACCCAACAAAUCCAGUAAUCCCAGCUCACAAAAUAAAUAUAAUUAAGGAAAAAAAUAAUUCAAGGAACAACAAAUGAAUAUAUAAAAAGGCAAAUAUUGCUCAACGCAAGUUACACAACUCACAACACGACGGCAACGGCAGGCUGGUGCCGACACAACCGACAACAAGUGGGAGGCGAGGCUACGAAUAAUGAAAGGCAAGGCUGCAACGACACUAGUGCGACAGGCUAGCUGAGGCGAUGAUGAUGAUGAUGAUGAUGAUAGCGAGAUGAACGGCAGAAGGGAUGGCUGACGAGUAACAGUGGUGGAUACUGUGUGUCACUACCCGCGCGAGUGGGAGUAUGAAAGAGAGAGAGUGAGAUGUGAUUGCUUAGAUUUAGAUUUUAAUUUUUAGAUUUUAAUUUUUAGUUUACUUGUUUAUGUUUUUAAUUUGAAAGAAAGAUUUUUAAUUUUAUUGAAAGAACUAAUCGGUUUAUGGGUUCAGAUUGAUAUUGAGCCGAAUCGAAUACAAACUAAUUGGAAUUUUAAAUUAUGAUUUGUUUGAUUUUUGUCCUUAUAAUCAAAUAGAACCGAG
RNAcentral lists this long non-coding RNA (1584 nucleotides) under Citrus maxima (pomelo). RNAcentral describes it as "long non-coding RNA (CMAX_LNC000924)". Lineage: Eukaryota; Viridiplantae; Streptophyta; Magnoliopsida; Sapindales; Rutaceae. The record is from RNAcentral.